AAACUCAAAGGAAUUGACGGGGGCCCGCACAAGCGGUGGAGCAUGUGGUUUAAUUCGAUGCAACGCGAAGAACCUUACCGGGAUUUGACAUCUCCUGUUACCCUUUGAAAGAAGGGGUUCUCUUCGGAGACAGGAAGACAGGUGGUGCAUGGUUGUCGUCAGCUCGUGUCGUGAGAUGUUGGGUUAAGUCCCGCAACGAGCGCAACCCCUAUCUUUAGUUGCUAACACUUUGGGUGAGCACUCUAGAGAGACUGCCGGUGAUAAACCGGAGGAAGGUGGGGACGACGUCAAAUCAUCAUGCCCUUUAUGUCCCGGGCUACACACGUGCUACAAUGGCCUAUACAGAGGGAAGCGACCUGGCGACAGGCAGCGGAUCCCUUAAAAUAGGUCUCAGUUCGGAUUGCAGGCUGCAACUCGCCUGCAUGAAGCAGGAAUCGCUAGUAAUCGCAGGUCAGAAUACUGCGGUGAAUACGUUCCCGGGCCUUGUGCACACCGCCCGUCACACCACGAAAGUCUGUCACGCCCGAAGCCGGUGGCCUAACCGCAAGGAGGGAGCCGUCGAAGGCAGGAUAGGUGAUUGGGGUGAAGUCGUAA
This 594-nucleotide ribosomal RNA is filed under the name uncultured bacterium. Its description in RNAcentral is "bacterial SSU rRNA". It matches the Rfam family "Bacterial small subunit ribosomal RNA", at positions 897 to 1491 of the family's 1533-position model. The record is from RNAcentral.